AGUGAACGCUGGCGGUAGGCCUAACACAUGCAAGUCGAACGGCAGCACAGUAAGAGCUUGCUCUUACGGGUGGCGAGUGGCGGACGGGUGAGGAGUACAUCAGAAUCUACUUUUUCGUGGGGGAUAACGUAGGGAAACUUACGCUAAUACCGCAUACGACCUACGGGUGAAAGCAGGGGAUCUUCGGACCUUGCGCGAUUGAAUGAGCCGAUGUCGGAUUAGCUAGUUGGCGGGGUAAAGGCCCACCAAGGCGACGAUCCGUAGCUGGUCUGAGAGGAUGAUCAGCCACACUGGAACUGAGACACGGUCCAGACUCCUACGGGAGGCAGCAGUGGGGAAUAUUGGACAAUGGGCGCAAGCCUGAUCCAGCCAUACCGCGUGGGUGAAGAAGGCCUUCGGGUUGUAAAGCCCUUUUGUUGGGAAAGAAAAGCAGCAGGUUAAUACCCCGCUGUUCUGACGGUACCCAAAGAAUAAGCACCGGCUAACUUCGUG
RNAcentral lists this ribosomal RNA (492 nucleotides) under uncultured bacterium. Its description in RNAcentral is "partial 16S ribosomal RNA". It matches the Rfam family "Bacterial small subunit ribosomal RNA", at positions 29 to 507 of the family's 1533-position model. The record is from RNAcentral.